RNAcentral lists this non-coding RNA (24 nucleotides) under Arabidopsis thaliana (thale cress). Lineage: Eukaryota; Viridiplantae; Streptophyta; Magnoliopsida; Brassicales; Brassicaceae. The record is from RNAcentral.
UGGAUCUAGCCAAAGUUGAGGGUU